Molecule: transfer RNA, 72 nt
Filed under: Camelus bactrianus (Bactrian camel)
Lineage: Eukaryota; Metazoa; Chordata; Mammalia; Artiodactyla; Camelidae
Also listed under: 3 other names
Rfam family: tRNA
About the family: Transfer RNA (tRNA) molecules are approximately 80 nucleotides in length. Their secondary structure includes four short double-helical elements and three loops (D, anti-codon, and T loops). Further hydrogen bonds mediate the characteristic L-shaped molecular structure. tRNAs have two regions of fundamental functional importance: the anti-codon, which is responsible for specific mRNA codon recognition, and the 3' end, to which the tRNAs corresponding amino acid is attached (by aminoacyl-tRNA synthetases). tRNAs cope with the degeneracy of the genetic code in two manners: having more than one tRNA (with a specific anti-codon) for a particular amino acid; and 'wobble' base-pairing, i.e. permitting non-standard base-pairing at the 3rd anti-codon position.
Source: Rfam by way of RNAcentral
GAAGGAAUAGCUCAGUGGUAGAGUGAAUGCCUAGCAUGCAUGACGUCCUGGGUUCAAUCCCCAGUACCUCUC